CUGUUAGUUUGGAGACUCCCAACACCUUUAGAGCAAAAGUUAGACGUUAGACUAGAUUGUCUCUUAAUUAGUUUAUUUUUAUUAUCUCUGCUGACUUCCAGAGAACACCUGAAUAUCAACAGCGGAAGAGAAACAAAUAUUGAGAAAAACAAGUCGGCCAACCAGAUUUAGGAUGAAGAUGAUCUCCAGGAUCCUGCUGCUCGUCAUCCUCAUCUCACGUGUCUGUGGUCAAUCUCCAGUCCAGAGUGACAAAGAUGUCCUCAGAAGACGAAUCAGACUCCAUGUGUCCAGACUGAGGACUGUAUCUGUGUGACAUGAAAACUGAAGAUGGUUCUGGUUCUGGAAGAUGUCAAGUCAGUACAACCACAACGAAUCAACCUGAGACUUCAAACUGGAUCAGGAACCAGGGAGGAAGAGAUGGGCUCUACUGUGGACUGCUGCUGUUUAUAUUUGUGAAGGUUUUCCUGAUUUACUAUCUGCUUCAUGCAGGUUUUAUUCCAGUCUCUGAUUCCAGCCAAAUCAUUUAAAACUUACAUCAACGUCUGAAGCAGAAUGUUGCAAUGUGUUCAAUAAACUCAAAAUGUUGUAGUUUAGCAUGAAGUUCUGCUUGUCUGGUCUAUUAAGGUUUUGCAGUGUUUCUCGGAGAUCUGUGUGAAUAGAUAUGUGUGAAUAGAUGUGUGUGAAUAGAUGUGGUUACAGAGAUAAAGUGAAACUGAAACAUUUAAAUGUGACUAUUUUAGAGAUAACUGAUGUGGCAGAUCGUUAGCUGGAGAUAGGCACCAGCACCCCUCCCGACCCCACUGAGGGACAAGGGUGUUCAGAAAAUGGAUGGAUGGAUGAUGUGGCAGAUUUUACACUGUUAGAUAUGACAGGGAGCAGAAAAUAUAUUGAGGCAAGUUUUAAAAAUAUUUGUCAUGGUUUCAUGCUUCUUAUAUAAAAGUACUGAAUUAUUUUUUUUAAUUGUUUUUGGCAUAUUUAUAUCAAUAAAUAUAGUGUUGACACGUUUAUCUAAACAUGUUUGAGUCCGUUUAAACUACUGUAUCACCUAAAAAGAGGAAUUAUUCGUUAACUUCAUGCUGAGUCAACAUCCACUGUACUGUGCAUGUCGCCUAAUCCCUGCUUUUAUUCUGCCAAGCCAGAAAAGUUUUACUUGAGCAGCGCAAAAUUCCCUGCAGUCAAAAUGAUCGCUAAUUGUGACCAAAAUUGGUAGAAAUCGUCACAUUUCCUUUGCGCUUUAAAUGCUAAAUAUGAAUUCCAUUUUUAUGAAAAUGUAGUUUUAGGAAAACAUAAUUAGAGGGACUCUCAUUAAGAGCUGAUGAUCCUACUGUGUAGUCUAGUCAAAGUUCAUUCAUGUAGCACAUUUACAACCUCACCUGACCAAAGUGCUUCACAAACAUCACAUCGUAGGUAGAUAAAUGAUGAACAAAAAUUAAG
Molecule: long non-coding RNA, 1434 nt
Organism: Poecilia latipinna (sailfin molly)
Lineage: Eukaryota; Metazoa; Chordata; Actinopteri; Cyprinodontiformes; Poeciliidae
Exons: 3
Source: RefSeq, a predicted model, not a curated record